RNAcentral lists this ribosomal RNA (404 nucleotides) under Verrucomicrobiota bacterium. RNAcentral describes it as "Verrucomicrobia bacterium partial 16S ribosomal RNA". It matches the Rfam family "Bacterial small subunit ribosomal RNA", at positions 355 to 776 of the family's 1533-position model. The record is from RNAcentral. Lineage: Bacteria; Pseudomonadati; Verrucomicrobiota.
UGGGGAAUAUUGCACAAUGGGCGCAAGCCUGAUGCAGCAACGCCGCGUGAACGAUGAAGGUCUUCGGAUCGUAAAGUUCUGUUGCAGGGGAAGAUAAUGACGGUACCCUGUGAGGAAGCUCCGGCUAAAUACGUGCCAGCAGCCGCGGUAAUACGUAUGGAGCAAGCGUUAUCCGGAUUCAUUGGGCGUAAAGCGCUCGUAGGCGGUCUGUUAGGUCGGCAAGUUAAAUCCGGGGGCUCAACCCCCGUCCGCUUCCGAUACCGGCAGACUUGAGUUUGGUAGGGGAAGGUGGAAUUCCUAGUGUAGCGAUGGAAUGCGCAGAUAUUAGGAAGAACACCGGUGGCGAAGGCGGCCUUCUGGGCCAUAACUGACGCUGAGGAGCGAAAGCUAGGGGAGCGAACAGG